Molecule: ribosomal RNA, 372 nt
Filed under: uncultured organism
Description: partial 16S ribosomal RNA
Rfam family: Bacterial small subunit ribosomal RNA
Source: RNAcentral
GUAGGUGGCAAGCGUUGUCCGGAAUUAUUGGGCGUAAAGCGCGCGCAGGCGGUUCUUUAAGUCUGAUGUGAAAGCCUACGGGCUCAACCGUGGAGGGUCAUUGGAAACUGGAGAACUUGAGUACAGAAGAGGAAAGCGGAAUUCCACGUGUAGCGGUGAAAUGCGUAGAGAUGUGGAGGAACACCAGUGGCGAAGGCGGCUUUCUGGUCUGUAACUGACGCUGAGGCGCGAAAGCGUGGGGAGCAAACAGGAUUAGAUACCCUGGUAGUCCACGCCGUAAACGAUGAGUGCUAAGUGUUAGGGGGUUUCCGCCCCUUAGUGCUGCAGCUAACGCAUUAAGCACUCCGCCUGGGGAGUACGGCCGCAAGGCUG